Molecule: long non-coding RNA, 2845 nt
Organism: Felis catus (domestic cat)
Lineage: Eukaryota; Metazoa; Chordata; Mammalia; Carnivora; Felidae
Exons: 3
Source: RefSeq, a predicted model, not a curated record
UUUACUUCCUAGCACUCCCGAGCCUGGGACUGAAUACCCAGGCCCCUACCCCCACCCCAUGUCCGCCCUUCCCCAUCAGCCCCUGGCUUGGCAUUGUCUGAGCAUCCCCCUUGCACCCAGUUCCCCUCUGUGGCUCUGUGCCUGAGACCUCCUUUCUUCCCUCCUGGCCUUCCCUCACCCCACAAACAUCCUGAGCUCCUCGGGGCCCAGCACUAUUGGGCAUGGACACAGACGCCUUGGAUGAUGUUUGGAGAACUUAAGUGAAUUACUGCCCUUCAGAACCUUGAUGUCUUCAUCCGUAAAAACGGGAGCAAAAUACUCCCCCGGAGUGCGAAUGAGGCCGUGGGUACAAGUUCAACCUUGCCUCCCUCCCCUCCUGGGACUGCCCCAAAGAGGCAAAUCCAGAAGCUAGGAGUUCCCAGAUGGUGGGUUAGAUGGAGGGCCACCACGAGAGUUUGGGAGGAAGGUAAAGUAUUGAGUUUGGGAGACAAGAGCCCCGGCUGGUGGGGGGUGGGGGGACAGUCUGGCUAAGCCUCACCUGGGAACAGGAGAAAGCUCCGGGGUUGGUCAAGAUAAACCUGGCCUUCUAGAGUUUUCCGGAGCAGAGAUGGUUCUGCCAUGCAGUCCUUUGGGGGCUUUUAGACAAGAUGGCAGCCGGAAAAGAGAGGCCGGAGGCCAGGCAGGGAGAAGAGAUCUACAAGGCUUACAGGUCAGAGCCAUUCAUGUUUCUUAGGCCCCUGGCUUCCAGGUGGAACAGGUCCUGAGGCCCCUCUGCCCACCUGUCAGUCAAGGCCCUUUGAAAGCCCCCUCCACCUGCCCUUUAUCCAUUAACUCCUUCCUUCAACAAAGGUUUGUGAAGGACUUCCUCCGUGUCAGGCAGGGUGGGCUUCCUGGGCGGGCAACCGUGGGGACGCCCAGGCCCCGAAGCUCAAAAGGGCCUCACGCUUGGCUUAAUGUUCGGCUGCUUCUGUGUUGCAAUUCUUCCUAAUCUAUGAACAAAGGGCCCCUGUUUUCAUUUUGCACUGGGCCCUGCAAAUUACGCGCCCGUCCCAGUGCCAAGCACAGUGCUGGGCUGGAGGGCACCGCAGAGAGCGAGCCCGCACGGCGGCCUCCAUCGCAAAGCUGGCUUUCAGCCCAGAGGAGACGAAGCGGGAAGCUUCAACGGGAUUAGAGGUCCGGAGGGGUGGCAGUGCUGUCCCUUGAUUCUCUCGGAGAAGGAUGUGGUGCACUCAGCCGGGGCCAGGCAGCACAGGGAACACAGGAGGGUCAGGGAGCAGAGACCCGAACGGGCAUCGUGGUGGGUAGGAAGCAAACGCGGGGGCCUGCGGAGGCAGUCAGAGGAGUGCUGGCGGGCCUCCCGAGUCCACGGGUGAGGGGCGCGCCCUAGAUCAUCUUGUGAUAAGCCACAGGGCUAAGUCAACAGGAUGAGGCAGUGGGAAGGAGAUCUCCUGGACCAGCUGCCAUUGACCUGCGUCCUGGAAGGAGGAGGGAGAGCCAGCUUCGCCAGGGAAAGGCAUCGGAGGCAGAGCGACCAGCAGGUGCACAGGCUGUGCAGAACAAGGAACAGACGCGGGGCUUUGUUGCCCCUGAGCUCACUUCCGUCACCAGCUGAGAUGAAGGAGGUUACUUUCUUCCCCAGUCCUCUGCUGCAGCCCUGUCUGCUUUUUAAUCCACUCUUAAGUUUUUCAGGGGGAUUGUGACCAGCGAGGGAGGCAGGGGGUAGGGGCAGCAGGUGCUGGAGCUACCGAUUUACAUAUGAAAACAACUGAUUGGUCAGCAUCUGCCCUGCUCCCCUCAACCCCAGGAAGGCCCUGAAGCCAGGAUUAUGGUUCACCCCUCGGCACAUCCCACCGGGAGCCCAGUGGAGCCUGGCCCACAGCAGGUGCUCAGUGCGGUCUGUUCUUCUCGGACCACAGAGAAGCAGACCGGGAUUCUGAGAGUGUCACGCUACUCAUUCGGGAGGAGACCAUCAUCCAAAGCCGCAUCUGUCUGCACAGCCCGGGCUUUGAAGCACCUGGUGGUUUAGUGGCCUGGGAGCAGAUCAUUUCUCCCCCUCGCUUGAUCCGACAGCAAACCUUCUCCAUCCUGACUGUGCUGUCGAAUUUCCCAAAUCCGCCCCCCCCCAGCUGUCAAAAUGCGCAUACCCACACCCCUGGUCCCCGUGGGCCCUGUGAUUCUGCACCUUUACUCGGUUCCCAGGGGGUGCUGAUGUCGCCCGGUAUGUGGACUCCGAAGUUAGAAUUAACUUUCCUCCUCUUCCACUAAAGGAGACCACACACGAGACAAACACAACAGAAGGAAGGGACCCGGGGCCCAGAUCUAACAGGGAGGGCUGGGGAGAGGGCGAGCUGGAAGCCACAUUCCUGUGGGGGCGUGGGGGGGGGUGCCAUCCAGGAAUUGUAUUCUGACGUUCCCACAGAAUGCUAACUUUCAAGAGAGGCGGAAACCCUGCUUUUAUGUGACGGCUCUCAGUGUGUAUGGGCAGCUAAUUCAAUUUGUUUUUCAACUGUUAGACCAAAGAAAACCCAUCUACCAGCCAGAUGCCGGACUUCAGUUUGCCACUGUCCCUGUAUAGGUCUCUGCUGGGUUUGGAGGGUGUAUGCAGCCUCCCCACUCCCCACACCAAAGGACCCCAAGCAGCUGGAACUUUUGAUCAAGGACGCUUUUCACAUAUGCUCGACACAGAAAACAGAAACAGAGCUUCUCCGGUUAAACAGAGCGAGGAAGGGUGGCUGUAAUUGCUCCAAUUAACAAAGAAGAAUGUAGAAUGCCCAGUUAAAUGUGAAUUUCGGACAAAUAAUGAACGAUUUUUUUUUUAAUUUUUUAUUUAUUUUGGGGAGAGAAA